GGUCUGCAAAUUCAAUGAAUCCAUAAUGCUUUGAUUUUCCAGUCUGUAAACAACCCAGAUUGAGUGAUACCAAAACAAAAACCACCAUAUCACAUUAUUGGCUUCACAAAAUAUAAAAACCAUAGUGAUUUUAGCAAAUAAGUUAUGAAAAUCUACAAUGAUGUCAGGAUUGAAACCUAGUAUGUCAAAUAUUAGCAUGUAAAGAAUAAACAGCAAAAAAUGAGAUUUUCAGCAAGUCUAUAAGAGGUUCUCGCAUGGGAAAAAUAAGGCAAAGAACUGAUUCAUGUGAAAUUAAUUUAUUAGUUUAUUCAGAUUUCAGUCUUUUACUCAUUUGUUUUUCCUGAUUCAAGCAGUAGUUAGUAUUGGUUGUACAAGAAACAGGACUUGUUUAGGGCAUAAACUCCUAACUAAUAAAAGAAAAACGGUUGCUUAUAAUGAGGAAUCAGAUUGUAUUUAAGCACCUUGUUCUAAAAUAAAUAAUUCUAGUUUUAUUGAAGGUUGAUUCCUAAAAUUCUCAGAGAUCAGAAGGUUCCAGAAUGAGCCUUCAUUUCACACUCACAACAGGUAACAAAGGGAAAGGCAUAAAACUAAAA
This 593-nucleotide long non-coding RNA is filed under the name Manihot esculenta (cassava). RNAcentral's name for it is "long non-coding RNA (MESC_LNC011397)". The record is from RNAcentral. Lineage: Eukaryota; Viridiplantae; Streptophyta; Magnoliopsida; Malpighiales; Euphorbiaceae.